AAAACGAACCAAGGAAGAGAAGAGCGCGAGAAAGCCAAACAAGCGUUCCACCGCUCACGCGACCAAAGGGCACGUGUGUCUAAUGGACUGUUGGGAGAGGUUUCUUUGUUAGUAGUCACAUGUUAGUUUACUACAAGUUACUACAAGGUACCUUACCAAACUCUCUGAGAAUGUGCUUCGUCGGUGGAAGUGUUUCCAGAAACAACUUUCCUUUGAGAAGUCUAGAGGAAAUUGCUGGAGUAUAAUGAUUGGAAAAAAAUUCGGCAUCUGUCGUCAUCGUACAGGACAGAAAGCUCUCCCUUACCUGAAGUCAGGAAACGAGGACACAAGUUAAGACAAAGACCAGCUGAAGGAAAAGUAAGAGGGUCAAGCAGAGAAGCCAGUGAUGACUGGCCAAAGAGGGGGGAGCCGGGGAGCAUCUGCCGGAGCUGAGACAGGAGUUGGAGAUGAGAGGCAGCUCUUACAAUGAUGCCAUCCAUGCCUUGCCCAUUGUGAUGGGAAAUCCAUUUCUUUUUAAGGAUCUGGAUUAUUUGGUUCAGCUCAGUUACAAGAGCCAGUCUUUUUGCUCCCAAACAGCUCUUCAUUUGGUACCAGUGUUGCCUUCAAAAUGUUUGUUCAAUAAAAACUAAAAUAGAGGAAAGAAAACUGACGCUCAGACAUGAGCUAAUGUAGCUACUGUGGUUCACACUGAAGGACUGUUUCAUAGAACAAGCUCAUUCAUGAGCAGAACAUCAUUAUUCAGCCCACAAGGUUUAUCUGGUACAUCAGCAUCCAUCCAGCCUCCAUGCAAGCUGUUUUUCACUUCUUGCCCCCAAUCUGGCAUCAGCACAUCAGUGGGAUCACUUGACUGUAAACAACCUAUAGGAUGAAAUUUGUGUGUAGUUUGUGUAACCUAUGCCUUUACAGCUGUUUGAUGGGUAUAAUACAGUUUGGUCUUGACAUGUAUGUAAGUUGUGAACUUAGGUAAUCCUGGGACAUUUUAUUAAACACUUACCAAUUCAGUAUUUCUAUUUUUAUGAUAAUGAAAAAAAUGUUGAAUUAUUUUAAUGACACAAAAUGGCAACAGCACAAUAAUUUCAACCAAAAGUACUGACAGUUAAAAGAAUUCUCAAGUUCUUUGUGUACAUUUUCACACAUGUGUGGAAAUGUGUGUCCAGCACUGAAGUGUGUAACCAGGCCUGUUAGGCUGAA
This is a long non-coding RNA of Cheilinus undulatus (humphead wrasse), 1191 nucleotides long. RefSeq lists it as uncharacterized. NCBI's taxonomy places the organism in Eukaryota, Metazoa, Chordata, Actinopteri, Labriformes, Labridae. The transcript is spliced from 6 exons. The record is from RefSeq and is a predicted model, not a curated record.